RNAcentral lists this ribosomal RNA (252 nucleotides) under uncultured bacterium. RNAcentral's name for it is "partial 16S ribosomal RNA". It matches the Rfam family "Bacterial small subunit ribosomal RNA", at positions 524 to 776 of the family's 1533-position model. The record is from RNAcentral.
GACAGAGGGGGCAAGCGUUGCUCGGAAUUACUGGGCGUAAAGGGCGCGUAGGCGGGAUGGCAAGUCGGUCGUGAAAUCCCUCGGCUCAACCGAGGAACGUCGAUCGAUACUGCUGUUCUUGAGGAUGCAGAGGAGACUGGAAUUCCCGGUGUAGCGGUGAAAUGUGUAGAGAUCGGGAGGAACACCGGUGGCGAAGGCGGGUCUCUGGGCAUUUCCUGACGCUGAGGCGCGAAAGCGUGGGGAGCAAACGGG